GCAUGGCAAUAGAUUUAUGGAGGGGUUUUCGACUAUAAGCCUUUCAUAGUGUAUGCCAUGCUAAAUUAGCACGACUACUCCGAACCAUUGUCAGGUCUUUAAAUGUAGACUUGCUCACUGAAGUGAGUAGAACAAAC
Molecule: small nucleolar RNA, 137 nt
Organism: Polyodon spathula (Mississippi paddlefish)
Lineage: Eukaryota; Metazoa; Chordata; Actinopteri; Acipenseriformes; Polyodontidae
Product: small nucleolar RNA SNORA42/SNORA80 family
Exons: 1
Source: RefSeq, a predicted model, not a curated record